AACGAACGCUGGCGGCAGGCUUAACACAUGCAAGUCGAGCGCCCCGCAAGGGGAGCGGCGCACGGGUGAGUAACGCGUGGGGAUCUGCCCUGUGGCGCGGAAUAACUCCGGGAAACUGGAGCUAAUACCGCAUAAGCCGGACGGUCGUGGAGACUGUCCGGGAAAGAUUUAUCGCCAUGGGAUGAACCCGCGUCGGAUUAGGUAGUUGGUAGGGUAAAGGCCUACCAAGCCGACGAUCCGUAGCUGGUCUGAGAGGACGAUCAGCCACACUGGGACUGAGACACGGCCCAGACUCCUACGGGAGGCAGCAGUGGGAAUAUUGGACAAUGGGGGCAACCCUGAUCCAGCCAUGCCGCGUGAGUGAAGAAGGCCUUAGGGUUGUAAAGCUCUUUUACCAGGGAC
RNAcentral lists this ribosomal RNA (402 nucleotides) under uncultured bacterium. RNAcentral's name for it is "bacterial SSU rRNA". It matches the Rfam family "Bacterial small subunit ribosomal RNA", at positions 29 to 446 of the family's 1533-position model. The record is from RNAcentral.